Molecule: ribosomal RNA, 440 nt
Filed under: uncultured bacterium
Lineage: Bacteria
Description: partial 16S ribosomal RNA
Rfam family: Bacterial small subunit ribosomal RNA
Source: RNAcentral
CCUACGGGUGGCAGCAGUGGGGAAUAUUGCACAAUGGGGGAAACCCUGAUGCAGCGACGCCGCGUGAAGGAAGAAGUAUUUCGGUAUGUAAAGCUCUAUCAGCAGGGAAGAAAAUGACGGUACCUGAGUAAGAAGCCCCGGCUAACUACGUGCCAGCAGCCGCGGUAAUACGUAGGGGGCCAGCGUUAUCCGGAUUUACUGGGUGUAAAGGGGGCGUAGACGGCAGUGCAAGUCUGGAGGGAAAGGCGGGGGCUCAACCCCCGGACUGCCCUGGAAACUGUACGGCUGGAGUGCAGGAGAGGUAAGUGGAAUGCCUAGUGUAGCGGUGAAAUGCGUAGAUAUUAGGAGGAACACCAGUGGCGAAGGCGGCUUACUGGACUGUAACUGACGUUGAGGCUCGAAAGCGUGGGGAGCAAACAGGAUUAGAUACCCUAGUAGUC